GUCCAAUAAGGUCCAAAUAGUCAAUGUUUAAUAAACAUUUGUAUUAUUGUCCACUAUUUUGUUAUUCAUAAUUUCAUAUCACUAUUAGGGGAUUAUGUUAUUAUUAGAAUUUCAAUUAAAGUACCACAAUGAUCAUAUAGUAUUAUACUUGUAUUAGUGUCUAUUAUUUUAUUAUUUAUUUGUAUUAUGUCUAUUAUUUUAUUAUUUAUUUGUAUUAUGUCUAUUAUUUUAUAAUUUAUUUGUAUUAUGUAUAUUAUUUUAUUAUUCAUAUUACUAUUAGCUGAUUAUGUUAUUAUUAGAAUUUUUUAUUAAAGUACCACAAUGUAUAGUAUUAUACUUGUAUUAUUGUCUAUUAUUUGAUUAUUCAUAUUGCUAUUGAAUAAUAUUAUAAUCAUGGUCAAAUAAUUAAGGUUAACAACAACAAUAAUAAUAAUAAUAAUAAUUAAUUUUUUGAUUUUCUACUAGUGUUUUAUAAAAUUAAAACAACACUAUUAGAUAUAUUAGUGAUGAAAGUUAUGUAUAGGCAAAUAUAUAAAUAGUAAUUUUUUCGUUAAAUUAAUUAUCAUAAGAGAUAAUUAAUAAUCAUUAUUUUUUAAAGGACGAAUUAUAAUAAUAAUUAUUCCAUAAAAAUUUUUGAGGGGUAGUAUUUACAUUAGUGGUAAUAUUUAUGUUAUUCAUGGUCAAUGUUUUUGUCUAAUAAGGUCAAAUAAAUUUCAAUCAGGUCCAAUAAGGUCUAAUAAGUUUCAAUCAGGUCCAAUAAGGUCUAAUAAGUUUCAAUCAGGGUCAAUAAGUUUCAAUAAGGUCUAAUAAGGUCAAUCAGGUCUAAUAAGUUCCAAUCAGGUCCAAUAAGUUGAAUCAGGUCCAAUCAGGUCCAAUCAGGUUUAAUAAGUUCCAAUAAGUUCAGUUCAGGUUCAAUAAGUUCAGUUCAGAUAAGUUCCAAUAAGUUCAGGUCCAAUAAGUUGAAUAAAACGCACCCUAAAAA
Beta vulgaris subsp. vulgaris (sugar beet) is the source of this 982-nucleotide long non-coding RNA. RefSeq lists it as uncharacterized. Lineage: Eukaryota; Viridiplantae; Streptophyta; Magnoliopsida; Caryophyllales; Amaranthaceae. The transcript has 2 exons. The record is from RefSeq and is a predicted model, not a curated record.